Molecule: ribosomal RNA, 484 nt
Filed under: uncultured bacterium
Lineage: Bacteria
Description: partial 16S ribosomal RNA
Rfam family: Bacterial small subunit ribosomal RNA
Source: RNAcentral
AUUGAACGCUGGCGGCAGGCCUAACACAUGCAAGUCGAGCGGAUGAAGGGAGCUUGCUCCUGGAUUCAGCGGCGGACGGGUGAGUAAUGCCUAGGAAUCUGCCUGGUAGUGGGGGAUAACGUCCGGAAACGGGCGCUAAUACCGCAUACGUCCUGAGGGAGGAAGUGGGGGAUCUUCGGACCUCACGCUAUCAGAUGAGCCUAGGUCGGAUUAGCUAGUUGGUGGGGUAAAGGCCUACCAAGGCGACGAUCCGUAACUGGUCUGAGAGGAUGAUCAGUCACACUGGAACUGAGACACGGUCCAGACUCCUACGGGAGGCAGCAGUGGGGAAUAUUGGACAAUGGGCGAAAGCCUGAUCCAGCCAUGCCGCGUGUGUGAAGAAGGUCUUCGGAUUGUAAAGCACUUUAAGUUGGGAGGAAGGGCAGUAAGUUAAUACCUUGCUGUUCUGACGUUACCAACAGAAUAAGCACCGGCUAACUUCGUG